Molecule: long non-coding RNA, 700 nt
Filed under: Sorghum bicolor (sorghum)
Lineage: Eukaryota; Viridiplantae; Streptophyta; Magnoliopsida; Poales; Poaceae
Description: long non-coding RNA (SBIC_LNC015180)
Source: RNAcentral
GCGGAUCUAGCACCACCACCUCCAUACUGGCGUCGAUCUGGCGAGCAGCUGGCAGAUCCGGCGAGCGGUGGUGCGGUCCGUGGAUGGGCUCAGUGGGCCCAUAGGUGGGCUCGCUAGGCUUAGUCCACGAGUAUUCAUUUUUUUUGUUUUAUUUUAUUAACUGUGGCGAGCAUAUGAACCACCUCGAUAAAUCAAUGAUUUAUCGUGACUUUUUAUCCAAGGCAGUUACAAAAACUGUCUCGGUUAAUCACUUUUGUCCACCACGGUUAAAGAUUCCUGGUGGCAGCAGAAGAAGAAUCUCGGAUUCUCAACUCGCAUAGCCAGAUGGUUGAUCCUGAACGGGGAGGCGCUGGUUUGGGGAGACAGGCACGCUGCUACGAUGAGCUCGAGUGGAGAAGCUCGAUCCACAACGUUUGGUUUACAUGCAAGAGCGGCCGACCCUCUGAGAGUAAAAUUCUUCAUGUCGGCUCCUUAUGCAGGGAAGGGAAGGAUUCAGUGCCACAAAAAUCUCAUUAUGCAGCGGAAGAUGAUGUGGUCCGCGGAUUCCUCCCAAUGACCCCAGUGCCACAUGAUCUUCUGCUGUGAUUUUGCAGUUGAUUUCUCGAUCGGCAGCUAUUGGGAAUUGGGAUUCAAUGGCUAGCUAACCAAAUUAACUGCUAGGGACCUACACCGUUCUUCGCUGCCAGGUUCCAUUCCUCGG